GAGGGCAUAGUUGAAGUGGUAGAGCAUGUGCUUAGCAUACAUGAGGUCCUGGGUUCAAUCCCCAGUGCCUCCU
RNAcentral lists this transfer RNA (73 nucleotides) under Camelus bactrianus (Bactrian camel). It matches the Rfam family "tRNA". Rfam says of the family: Transfer RNA (tRNA) molecules are approximately 80 nucleotides in length. RNAcentral also lists the same sequence under 2 other names. Lineage: Eukaryota; Metazoa; Chordata; Mammalia; Artiodactyla; Camelidae. The record is from Rfam by way of RNAcentral.